Regulatory RNA element from Paraliobacillus sp. PM-2, 111 nucleotides. It matches the Rfam family "PyrR binding site". From Rfam's summary of the family: This family represents the PyrR binding site and terminator structure. This RNA structure is found upstream of a variety of genes involved in pyrimidine biosynthesis and transport. Lineage: Bacteria; Bacillati; Bacillota; Bacilli; Caryophanales; Bacillaceae. The record is from Rfam.
UUAACCUUUAAUUAAGUCCAGAGAGACUUGCAAGGUUGCCAUAGGAUACGUGUAUGUGUUUUUAAUGCUACAUGUGUACCUCUUUGCAACGUUGCAAAGAGGUUUUUUUAU